Long non-coding RNA from Pimephales promelas (fathead minnow), 386 nucleotides. RefSeq lists it as uncharacterized. Lineage: Eukaryota; Metazoa; Chordata; Actinopteri; Cypriniformes; Leuciscidae. The record is from RefSeq and is a predicted model, not a curated record.
UCCGAUGGUUAUCACGUGACGGUCACUUGAACGUUUGGGACGUGGACUCAUCAAUCACGGGCCCACGUGCGGCCCAAACCCGCCGCCUCCCGCCGGGAGGUUCUGAAGAUGCGACGUGCUGUUUGUUUUUCCUCAUCGAGAGAGCUCUUCUCUCGGAGAACCAGAGGAACUUCCAUGUAAACAUCGGACGUGUGAACAUCGGAUGCAGAGAAGAAGACAAAGUAUCCUGCACUUGAUCCGCCAGCCGUCACGGACGAGAGGUCAACGGAGGUCAGCGGCCUUUUCCCAAACCAGGAAAUUAAAGUUCAUCUCCCCCGAGCGCUCAAGCACGUAAUGAACCUAAUAACCGUGAAAUGAAGUUUUGUGAUCUACUGAGAGGAGGCAAG